RNAcentral lists this transfer RNA (72 nucleotides) under Mus musculus (house mouse). It matches the Rfam family "tRNA". Rfam says of the family: Transfer RNA (tRNA) molecules are approximately 80 nucleotides in length. Their secondary structure includes four short double-helical elements and three loops (D, anti-codon, and T loops). Lineage: Eukaryota; Metazoa; Chordata; Mammalia; Rodentia; Muridae. The record is from Rfam by way of RNAcentral.
GGAGAGAUGGCUCAGCAGUUAAGAGCACUGGCUGCUCUACCAGAAGACCUGGGUUCAAUUCCCAGCCCCCCA